GACGAACGCUGGCGGCGUGCUUAACACAUGCAAGUCGAGCGGAAAGGCCCUGCUUUUGUGGGGUGCUCGAGUGGCGAACGGGUGAGUAACACGUGAGUAACCUGCCCUUGACUUUGGGAUAACUUCAGGAAACUGGGGCUAAUACCGGAUAGGAGCUCCUGCUGCAUGGUGGGGGUUGGAAAGUUUCGGCGGUUGGGGAUGGACUCGCGGCUUAUCAGCUUGUUGGUGGGGUAGUGGCUUACCAAGGCUUUGACGGGUAGCCGGCCUGAGAGGGUGACCGGCCACAUGGGGACUGAGAUACGGCCCAGACUCCUACGGGAGGCAGCAGUGGGGAAUAUUGCACAAUGGGCGGAAGCCUGAUGCAGCAACGCCGCGUGCGGGAUGACGGCCUUCGGGUUGUAAACCGCUUUCGCCUGUGACGAAGCGGGAGUGACGGUAAUGGGUAAAGAAGCACCGGCUAACUACGUG
This 468-nucleotide ribosomal RNA is filed under the name uncultured bacterium. RNAcentral describes it as "partial 16S ribosomal RNA". It matches the Rfam family "Bacterial small subunit ribosomal RNA", at positions 28 to 507 of the family's 1533-position model. The record is from RNAcentral.